This 542-nucleotide transfer RNA is filed under the name uncultured Prochlorococcus sp. Its description in RNAcentral is "partial 16S-23S ribosomal RNA intergenic spacer". The stretch from base 212 to 284 matches the Rfam family "tRNA". Lineage: Bacteria; Bacillati; Cyanobacteriota; Cyanophyceae; Synechococcales; Prochlorococcaceae. The record is from RNAcentral.
CAGGGAGACAACAAAAUGUUAAAUAUUAUUAUUUUGUCACCUUAGGUCGAUCGGUAUCUCACGUUCUUAAUUUAUUAAGAAUUUCAUUUCCUAAGUUUUUCUAGGUCACACCCAUUAUUUUUCCUGGGCCAUUAGCUCAGGUGGUUAGAGCGCACCCCUGAUAAGGGUGAGGUCCCUGGUUCAAGUCCAGGAUGGCCCAUAUCUCUAUGUUGGGGGUAUAGCUCAGUUGGUAGAGCGCCUGCUUUGCAAGCAGGAUGUCAGCGGUUCGAGUCCGCUUACCUCCACUGAUUACCACCUCUUCCAUAACCGGUAGUAAAGGAAAUGUUUUGAGUUGUGAUCAAAUUCUGAAAGAAUCUAGCUUCCUAAUGAAAUCAUUAAGAUGCUGGACUCAUUGAAUUAAUUUCAUUGUUUUCAGAGAACCUUGACAACUGCAUAGAUUAUUUUUAAAGACAAUAAGCAUCUUUAAUGAUGCAGAUUUAUUAUUUGUGCGAAUGCAUUAAUAACAAUUCUAUUAAGCUGAUGCUUCAAUUUUUGAAGUUAUU